Molecule: long non-coding RNA, 15731 nt
Organism: Columba livia (rock pigeon)
Lineage: Eukaryota; Metazoa; Chordata; Aves; Columbiformes; Columbidae
Exons: 3
Source: RefSeq, a predicted model, not a curated record
UUAGACUGGCACAGAAACAUGAUCAAUUUACUGUAUUUAUCUGAUUUGCUGUGUCAUUCUUCUCUUCUUAUUUUAUCUUUAUGUAAUAUUUUUGAAGCCUGGAAGAUUUUUAAAAACAUUAAUUUGUCAAAGAUUCAACUCAAAAGGGCUUUUCUGAGGCUCUGCAGAUGUUACGGUGCAAGAGCAGGGAAGAAUGCACUGUAUUUACACUUCUAUUCCUGUAACAGAUAAUCAAUACAUUGUGCUGUGCUCCGUAAAAAAAAAAAAAAGGAGGAAUAUGAGUGCCAAACUGUGAUGAUAAGCCCUUUGUGUCUUGAGUGCACUCAUUUUCUAAGGAUUAGGGGCUGUCCUUUAUCAGCCAGUUCACUUCUGAAGUCCGUGAUAGAUUGCUGCUUGCCCGUCUGCUCCAAACAGCAGCAACCUGAACUUUAUCAGCAAGGAAAACCCCAAACACAGCUGUCAGGAGGUAAUGCAGAAAUAUUGCUUUCUCAGGGCAGACCCUCACGGGCAAAUCUUACCUUUUUCUCUGGAGUAAUAAAAACUGCAAUAGAAAGAGGACUUUGGAAGUAAGGGAGCAGCUGUAAUGCAGAGAUGUCUGGGUGAGAUACCUGAGCAAAAGGAACCAGUUUGGCUCUGCCACUACGCUGCUCCACGUGGCUGAAAUUAUUCUGCUGGAAAACAAGGUGAAUCAGCUGCCGUUGCUCCAGUGCAACCUUUUACUGCAGGACUUACAGAGAACUGUGCAGGCUGCUGCUUGGGUGAUGACAUCCCAGAAACCACCCAGGUGGUUCGUGGUCUGGAGAAUGUUCUCUGACUGUGGAAAUGCAAACUGGAAUUCACCGCUGAAGGAUUCAAAGCACAUACACACGCGUAUAUCCAGGUAACGCUUUGGGAAGCCUGUGCCAAAGUUGUCUAACAGAGAUUUGUGUGCAAUACUACUUUGCAAUUCAGCAAAGCAUAAAUUGCUCCAUUUAAAAUAUGCUAGGCAAGGUCAUUGUGGAGCUCCUGGGGAGAUGCCAGCGCCUUCAGGACAUCCCAGCAAGUAUCAUUUUUCCGACACAGCAGAAAUAGGGAAAUGAUAAUGAAACACACUGGAAAAGUGCUCUUAGGUAGAAGAAAGCACUUCAAAAAUAAAAAGCAGGCCUUAACAAGACUGAUCCCUGCAUCAGUGGCCAUCCCUUACCAGAAAGGGAGUCAAUAGCAACUGGUUGUGUGAUUUUGUCUUAUUGACAGCUACCGAGCACUCUGGACACAGCAGUACAAAUACAGAACUGCCUGAUUAAGAUGUCUUUUAUUCUGUUGGUAAAUGUACUCAAUGAGGAGUCUAAUCCGCACUGCAAUGAAAGAUGUUUGCGUUCAGCUAAUUAAAUCUGAAGUUAUUCUUAAGAGAUGGAGAGAAUUGACAAGUCAUACGGUGAAAUUGUAAAGAGAAACAGCAAACGUUCUUUUAACAAGUCAAAACAAAUCCUCAGUUUCCUGGAGUCACGCAGCACGUACUGUACAGCUCCGGAGAAGCAGAGUGUGCAAGUCAUAAAAGAACCCCAGGCACUUCAUUACUGGCAAUGAUGUCAGCUCCCGCCGCUCCUCUGCAGAAACGACAACAAAACAAUGCUCGGGCCGCCGCUGCCGUCGGAGGCAGCUGCUCUCUAAAUGUCAUAGCUGGCUGAGCCUCCAAAAGGCUGAAGCACAACAAGGAAAGGGAUUCGGUGCAUUGGUUUUCCUCCGGGCGCUUUCAAGAACCUGGCAACUUGUGGCAUGGCAACCUGAAGGACCUGCCGGCGUUUCAAGUGGCUACGGUAUUUUACAUGCUGAGCUGCUUGAAAACAAAAGGAGAGCUCCCCAAGGAAAAUGACAAAACCUUGGCGCUCUCCUUGUGCAGUCAAGAGAGCCUGAGCGUUCAGUCAGUGCGGGAAGAGCACAUCACAUCUUCGCUUUCUGUCCCCGUGGGCAAAGGGGAAGCUCAUCCAUCCAGAUGUCCCGCAGCACAGAUGGACUGCCUGGCGGGAGGACUCAGAGGGAGAAGAUUACAGGAUCAUGGGACGUGUGAAAAAGAUGGAGAAGUACUCACUUCACACACGAGGGACUUUCAAAGGGCUUUGCACAUGAAAGUUAAAUUCAUAUCAGGAAGUAAAUUGAAAGGCCUGUAUAAAUUCUCUUAUAAAUAUGUUCUUGGACGUGGAUCAAGGAGCAAAGUUCUGUACGGAAACCGAUCUGACUGGAGAGUCAAGUUGAAGUAGACUCGUUUUUCAUUAAAAUAGUUUAGACAUGGAUUUAAUCAGAAAUAACUUUUUCUGAAUAGCAAAUGUGUAUAUAAACCCUCCGUUUGGCACAAUAUGGAAAAGCUUUUCAUAUUUUCCAGAGCACACAUGCUGCUGGAGCAGGUAUACAUUCCUCUCCUAGGGCAUAUGCAAGGUUUAAUCCUGAAACUAGUUAAGUCGUGCAAAAAUCCUCUGACUCUCAAAGCACCUUGAAUCAGGCCCCCCAUUUCCAGCUGUAUCAACCCACUAGGAAGUGCUCUCCUUUUCGUUUUGAUCUUUAUUCUGUUUCUGUGGCCUGCCUUUGGGUUACAGUUUAAUCCCAAAUACCUAGUAAAAAAGCACUUUCUCCAGAUCAAUUAAAAAAAUAAAAAGAAGUCAUGGUGUUUGUCCUCCUGGCCAGUAUUUCCAAACAACUAGCUCAUGGGACAGGAAUUUGGAACAGGGAGUGUCAACCACCCAGUUCAGAAGGAAGUCUAAUGAUAAAAAAAAUAAUCCCAGAUUGCAUAAUAAUAAAGGCUUGAAUUUGAAUGUUUCAUUGUAAGAGCACUUCAGUUGUUUAAACAUGCUCACUAGGGAGAUGAGCCCUCGGGAACAAACAUCAGCACGCAAGCACAGAUUUUUAGCUCAGUGAAUGGGUGCUCAGGAGAACCCCAAGGCAGAUUAAUAUUUGUGAAGAGAUCAAAUUCAUGCAGUACUUUGAACAGUUCAAGUGAUGAGAUAUGUAAGCAAUAUCUUUCUAAUUUGGCAGUCUCACAUAAGCUUGGUUAGCAAACACGAGAAUAAAUGAAAGUGCAAAUUUAAAUUUAAUUAAAAUAACAGUGGUUCUUUUGAGAAAAAGGACUAACUCCACAGUUUGAAAUGAGCAGCAAAGGGCACAACUUGUGCAGAACUAAGCAUUAAGGUACAAGGCAGGAGUUCUUCCACCCUGUACAGAUGGACCUCAGUCUUCUGAUUUACUGCCAACAGGUGUGUUAACAGCAGUGCCCUUGCAUCUCACAGGGCUGCAACACAAGGCACAGAUGUGGGCACGUCCAGGCAGACCUGAGCCUCACAACUGCAGCCCCUGAGCUCCCCACACAGAGGGGAAGUGCUUGAUUUGGCUUGUUAGACUUGCAGAGCUAUUAUUCACUUUACCGUGCACUUAUAUCCUUGCUUUGGUGAGGUUUGGGAAGGAAUGCUUGGAAAUGGAGUUUCGGAUCCUGCAUUGUUAUUUUUUUACCUGAAAAAAUAUUGGUAUGAAAAUGGAGUGUGCAUUUUCUUAAUAAAAAACUAUUUUCAGAUAGCAGAUGGCUUCUGAGGGUGCAGAGACUUACUAUUAAAAGCAAACUGAAAUAAAGAUUUUCAUAAGAAGUUCUAAAAUACCCAAAGGAAUAAUACCAGAGCGAGUUAUAGAUGUAAUUAUCCCAGAUGAGAACUACUGAAAUCUCUGUACCACUCCAUCAGGAGUUCUGCCAAGACUGUGCUUUUUCGGUAUCCCCGCCACUGCCAAACCAGUUAUCCAACAAAAGCCUAAGGUAGACUGGAUUUGGAAACGGGCAUAACUGAUAACUAAAAUCCUGCAGAAAUCUAAACAAAGUAUCUAAACUACCUUUACUGCACACAAUAGCACCACUCUGAAGUUUAAAAGCUGGUGCUGAUGAUCUUUUCAUAAAUCUGGACAUACUGUUUGCAAGUAGGGUGCCUCCAGUUUCGCAGAUGGGUAUGGUAAGGGACCUUCUGAAUCCUAAGAAAGGGGUGAGAGUAAAUAGGCUCAUCCUCCAUCUCAAAUGGAGCACGUUAGAAAAUCUGCAUGUGCAUAGUCAGUGGAUGACUGGUGACUAUUUAUCUAGUAGAUUUUUUUUUCUUUUAAUAUCUGCUGCUGGAAGCUGCUGAUGCCAGUCAAAAGUUUAAUUGCUAUCCCAGGGAAGCUGAAUUAGUGUACAGAGAACAAGCGAGACAUCCAAAGGUGUCUGCUAAAUGCAGUUUAUCACUAGGCUAUUGCCACAAAUUAUGGAUGCACAGACAAAAUUCAGUGUCUGUAGGCUUCCUAUGAGACCCACGUCAUUCCUUGUACUCUAUAGCCACAGCUGAACUUCUCUAUACAUAAAAAUUACCAGUAUGUUAACAGGACACAACUUAAGCAAUUCAACUCAUUUGGCCUCAAAGCCAAGAAGUCUGUAAACAACUGAAGCUCUGGAAAAAAGACUUCACAUAAAUUGAAAGUCAUUACCUGAAGUGGAUCAUUGCUAGGAUGGCUUAUAAUACUUUACUCCUCAAGCCUGUGAUCUUUACUGCUGUCAAGCCAUUAGAACUCAGCUAAAAUCAAGUAUGGUAAGAAAUUCAUAAGCUCUGUGAAUAUCAGUACAUUCAUCUUAUGAAAGGCAUUUAUGGAAAACAGAGGAAACCUUGUGAAAUAUGGUAGUUUAUUCCACUUAGACCAAGAAAGUGCAGCAGUAAAUAAAUGUAAUAAUAUGCAGUUUGAUGAAAUCAGAUCCUUUUCCCAUCUAUUUUCCAGGAAGCAACUUCACUGGCGCUUUGAUAUAACACUUUGUUAUGUGUUACUGCAGCACUCUCACAUUCCAGAAUUUGCAUCUCUUUCCCUCUGGCAAUACUGCUAACAAAACAAAAUGGGCUUUUUUUUUUUUAAAUGUGGAGUUGUACUAACCCAAUACAGACAUGUAUAUUUAAGUAGCUGUUUAAGUAAAAUCGCAGUGCAAGAACCAAAACCUGGAUUUUCAGAAACACAGGGGAUUGAACUUUCUGCCAAGUAUCUAGUCAACCUCGCUAGGAAGUUGUAUUUUAAAAGUUUAAAAUCCAAGCACACUCUGAAAAACUAAUAAUUUUUUUUGACCACUGAGGAGUGGUUGGGUGUAAAGACUUGGGCUGCAAGUGCACAUUGCAAGCUUUUAGAGCUAAUAAUUUGAAAACCUGCCUCUUGUUUACGUUUCUGAACUGUAUCUGGGUUCCUGAAAACCUGAUCUGAACUGUGAAUACACAACCUAAUUUCCAGACUACACCAGUAGCUCUUUCCACAGAUAGUUGCACAGCAAGCGUGACAUAGUGAAGCCACUUGGUUUGGGCAUAUUACCAUAGGUGCUAUUUCUUGAAAUGAUAAUUCAAUAUUUGUAACUAUUGGUGCUGGACAUAUUAAUAUACUCUUGUAUAUAUGGUUUCUCUUCAGUUACAGACGGGAUAUUUAAUAUCUGAGCAGCCAAUACAUAGGAGACUUGAAUCCUAUCGAACCUGGAGAUGUAUCAGGGCAGAUGUGUGGUCAUAACUGAGCCCACAUGUUACUCAUGAAUCAAGUACUGUGCGUUGUGCCCUCCAUUGCUGUUCAUUAAUAAGCCCUGCAUUUUGUCCUUCCUGAUCCUCUGCUGCCAGUCUCUCAUCCUUCCUCCCACGCUGGCAAUGGAGAAUGAGCUUGUGAUGAAUUUGAUGGAGAAAUUGCAGGCUGACAUUGUACAGCUUUUGUCAUGUAGGAGGUUGGACUAGAGAAUAAUUAGGAUUCUCCUCUUUUAAAUCUGUGAAUCCCAGAAACUAACCUGUGAACCUGGAGGAGACUUAAGCAAGCCAAUUAUCCCUGAGUAAUCUGAUCAGGUAGCAUUUAAGCUAUCUAGAUAUUAACAUAGUUGGACAUCACUGUUUUCAACAUUACUGCAAGGAUUUUCUUUUUAAACUCUUCACUGCAACUUUCAAAAAGCAGUAUUUGGCUGGGGUAUUGACACUUCAAAGUGUGAUUCCUGUAUAAGAAAGAAAUUACUAUGAAAGUUGUUCCGUCUUCCUCAAUCUGGAAAUGUACAUUCUUUGUUUGCUGUGGUUAGCAAACAAAGCAAGCUUCUACUGUUUUUUUAUUCCCAGUGGUUUUAUGAAUACUUAAUAAACUUACGGUGAGGCAAGCAGAAUUCUGUAUCAUUGCACACAUUGGCAUCAAGCUGGUCUCACAGAAUUUGAUUACUGAUGCAUCUAAAUUGGCUUAGAAAUCAAUUAGUUUAAAUUGCUGCAAACCCACCCCUGAUGUGGACACAUUUAGAAGAGGAUAUGACUGAUAAGGUUUGUUGUUUUUUUUUUUUUUAAACUUCAAUGAAAAUGCAGUAGAAAUAAGAGUGGCUCAAAGAGUUUAUCCCAAUUAACUGCAUCAGUUCACUGCUUUUAAACCGAUUUCCUUUCAUGCCAUGGUAUGCAAACAAGCUGUACAAUGUUAUCAGUUACAUCCAGUUGAAUCCACUGAAAACUGUACAGGUAUACUUUGACCUGAUGACCAUUUGUGAAGUUUAAGAGCCUUCUUCAGUUUUCUGAGUCCAAAUCAGUUCUCAGGGUUGCUCUAUUUGAAUUCAUUUGUGCCUGCAUGGUUUGGUUACUUUUAUGGCUAGGAUUUUUUAAAAGGUACAAUAAAACACAGAACACAAUGAACAGUUGUUACUAAUGAACUUUUCAAAGUUGACCCACACUGGGGAAGUUUCGCACUAUGAGACAGGUGUGUGUGUAUAUAUAUACAUACAUAUAUAUACACACACACACAUAUGGGACAGUUAUAUUCUCCAGUUAUUAGGGUACUGCUAUAAACAGCAAGUACAGAAAUGCAGGUACACCAGUUUUGCAUGUUACUCAACCCUAAGGCUGUUCAGAAGCUUUUAAGCAGGAAAGUCACUGCUCUGACAUAGACUAUUCAAAUGUAUUUAAUACAACCUGUAUGAGAUGGAAUUUACUAUUUUUGGUAUAGUAGCUGCCUACUUCAUUAAGCAAUCUACCUUGUGAUGCUGAUGAGUAUAGGUUGUGAUUCCUCACAGCGGAAAGCACUUUGUUACCUGAUCCAGCAAAGGACUCCAAUAUCUUUACACUCCCAUCUUAAAAGGAAGUCUGUGCUUAAGCUUUUUUUUUAUUCAUUCCCUAAUGGCAUCAAGGCUUCACUGCUCUCACAUUGUCUCAGAAGCCUACCUUUCAGUUUGUUUUGAGAAACUUAUUUUAUGCUACUUGAUAUCUAAGAUUGUAUUAAAUAGUUUGGCUAAGAGUUAAAAGUUAUUCAAAUGACAGCAAUGAUGAAGGGUUGCUGUGUUUUAAUCAGAUAUACAUUGGGAAGAAACUGUACAAAUGCCAAAGACAAGAAAAUAAAAGCCAAUGCAAGCUGAAAGAAGAAUGUGAUUGAUAAAAGCAACAUGAACAACUUUUUAGCUACUAUAAAUUGCAAUGAAGCACCACAAGAAUUGAUUUAUAUAAUUUCAGUAUUGGUUUCAAUGCGGUUCGCUAUAACUCAAAAGAUCUAUGCAGGUAUAUCAACACACUAUGUUAUUCUCAUAGAGAAUUAUGAAUAAACAUAAAUGUAGAAAACCAGCAUACAGGAAGAAAAGCAUCAUGUGGGUAUUGAGCAAGAACAUCUGUUCAGCCAGGGAAGUACUGACGUGUUUUUACUCAGCCGGUACUGCAUUUUUCAGUGCACUUAUUCAGUGCUUUUGGGGUGUUCCAGUCCAAGCAGGAAUAGCUAAAACAAGCAAGUUAUGCUUGUGUAUUUCCUAAAAAAACACCCAAGCCAAAAGCAAGAGCUGCUCGUAGCAGGAGGGAGGAAGGGAAGAGGGAAAAUGGAAAAUGAUGACUAAAUUUGUCCUCCGGGCUGAACAGUAACUUGGUCACCUGAGAGAGAGAAUUAUGAGCUAACUCAAAAGUCCUGCCUGCCUUGUGGUCCUGAUAAGGUUAUCAGAUGACCUGCUGAAAGUCACCUGUCAGGGCAGAUCUUCUAGCGCCAUGGGGGAAAAUACAAUCCCUUCUCAAAUGAAGGAAAUGCAGACAAAGGGUUUACACAAGAAAUUAUACUUAUCUUUGGCCAAAUUUCAGGUAAAAUAGCAAAACUGACUCAAUUCCAAGGACACUGACAUUUUUCAUAACCUAGAAAAAAUCGAAUUGUGUGAUGAACAAGGCAUAUGGAAAAUGUGUAUGAGACACAUAUUCUGUUUUGAGAGGAAUUAAACUCUACACCAAAACCUGAUUUCUAUUUUCCCAUUUUACAUUCAAAUUAACAAAUUAUGCCCUUGCUCAGUGACAGGUUUGAGGUCACUGAGUGACCUCAUCCUUUUAUCUGUUUGCUUGCUUUUAUGACAAGAGUCUUAGUUAAUAAUGCAACAAAUCAGCUGAAAAUACUGGCUUGGCUUGAGAAUUCCUAAUGAUCAGCCUGCGUAUCCUGAGCACACAAAAUCUUGACAUGUCAUUUACCUUCACCACAGUGUACAGAUAAGAGCACUUCAAUAAAUCCAAGCCCCCAAAUCAGUUCUUGGUGGGAGUCCUAAACUAGCAAGAGGACACCACCAAUUCCCAAAAUACCUUUAGACAAAGAAAGAGAUGGGGGUCCUGGCACACGUGAAAGAGGACAGGCCAGCCUUGUGUUACUUUUAAACAAGAUCUGAGUGAAAGACAUUCUUGUUUAUUUCCAUAUAUUUAUCCAUUUAUUGAAGAAAUGCUUGUAAAAUAGGCCUUGAAGAAAUUUAGAUUCAGUUUGUAGAUGUCAGACACAAACUCUCAUAACUUCCUUGUUGACAUCAGCUGUAUGUCUCAUGAUAGUCCAAGUUUUGGUGGUUUUAUUUUUUUUUUCCCCUGCUAUUUCUUUGUUUCUUUUUUAUUUUUUAAAAAACGAUCAGUUCAAGUAGAGGCAGAAAUUUUAAAACUUGCCAACACAAUUGUGAAACCCUGAUGGCUGAAUUCAUGUCAUAUCAUUCUACUGGCAGAAGUGCGGGGUUUAUUUUGCACAAUUUCCAUAAGGAUGAGAAGCAUUGUCAUAUCAAAGUAGAAAUGUGAGUAAACUUUUCUCUCCCAAAACCACAUAGUAUUUAUUUUGUAGUUACAAUUUCCUUUAACCAGAGAUUUUUGAAUUAGUGCUUAUGGUCUCAGCCUAGGAUAAACCUCCCUUUCUCUAACCCCCAGACGGCAAAAUAAUAUUAGCAUUGCUUACAUUUACAUCAUUGUAAAAAAUGAAUAAUGCAUUUUGUACUGGCUUAGUUAAAAGGUAAACCCCAACGUUUUGGGGAUAAGUUGAAAGGUAAACCAGGCCAUCUAUUUAAUGUGUAAAAAGAGAAAGCAAACGCCCAAAUGAAUUUUGACACUUCAAAGUAUUUAGACCUUUUGCAUCUCUAGACUACAGAAGUGCUUUCUGAAGAUCACAAGCCCAAUACAAAAUCUUUGUGAAUACCAGCAAAGUGAAUCCUACAAAUCCAUGCAAUUUCACACACAUGUAACAAUCGUUCAUCCCUGAGUGCAUGAGGUGCAGGACAGAGUCUAGAUCAAAUGUUAACCAAAGUUUUCGACUUCUCUCUCUCUAAUUUUCUGUCCCAGCCUGAAAUGUCCUCUUCUUUAAUAAUUUCUCUAACAUGACCUAUUUAUUGCAUACAGCUAUUCCCGCUACAAAUUUGGUGUUUCUUUUGGAAUAAAAAAAUCUCAGUGGGUGGCAUUCACCGGUUCGCUGUGAAUCAGAGGGUGACCCAAAUCUCUGACUGAAGAUGCACCCACAGGCUUAUGGGACAUGAAACAAAGAGGAACAAUCAGGUCCGGAUCCCCUUGUCCAAAUCAGUCAGUUAAAAAGAAAUCAAUCAAUAAACAAAUACAAAUAUCUGUGAAUGUUCAACAAAAACAAGGGUGCUCAGCAGAGCAACCUGCAGCCUGGUUCAACUUGGGCUACUCAGUUUUGCUCUGUUUUGUUCGAAAACUUUUAUAUGACCUCAGUUUCUGUUUGCAUGGAUGUCUGAAGAAUGUCUGUCAAUACCAGCACCUUUAUCUGCCUGGUUAACAUUGCUGAGAACAUGCGGUUAUUCUUUAUUUGUUAUUCUCAUCAAAUGAAUGCACAGUCUGAGCAGUAUCGUUGUCAAAUGCCAAUCACUCAGCACGAAAAGCAAAUAAUUAAAAUGGACAGAUGAUAAAUAACCCACAGUCCAGGGUCUGCUUUUAAUAAAUUGUCUGUUAACAAAUGAUAAAGAAAUACACAUGUAAUAAUGAGGACUGUUCUCAAACAACUUGGGAACUGUGAAAAAUUACAAAUUCAAGAUUAAAAUCAGUUCCAGUGAGUAAAUCGGUCAGCUCUUGUUCUUGACAAUAUCAUUUACUUUUUAUCACAGGGGAUCUAAGAGGAUAAUACAGAGUGCGUGUAGCUGUAGGUCACAGCAGCAUCACCCAUGGCUGCCCUGCAUCCAGCUGAGAGGAGGGUUUGAGGCUAGCUGGACAUUUUCCAGAAGAGCUAUUAUUCUGUAGUAAUUAUGUGUUUUGGAAAUGGUUUAAGCUAAAUCACUACACCCCCACUCUUUAUGUGGGAUUAAGCAUAUCCAGAGAAAGAGUUACUCUGGAAUAACCAUGGUACUUCUGGAGAAUUUCCAGAGUUAGGGAGACUUUGCUGCAGAGAGGAGCGCGGCACCCUGAGCCAGCAGCCUCCUCCCAUGGCCUUUGUUUUCUUCAGAGUCUGUCAAAGCACUGGCAGGUCUGAUUCCCUUCAGCAUUUAAAGACUAAGAAGGACAGUAUUCAAGGCAUUUUGGCUGAAUGACUUGGGUGAAGAAAACGGCAAUAAAAUGUGUGCACAAACUCGCCUAUUUCUAAAGUUUCUGAGAGCACAGAUUUCCCUAACUUCAGAAUGAUUAGAAAAAGCAUAAACAAUGAGAUUUUGAGAACUUCAAAGCUUAUUAAAUCCACAAUGUCAGUCUUUUGUGUAUGAAAUUGCUGUUUAAUCCAUGCGUACCGGGAGUGAAAGCUACUCAUAAAAUAAAAAGGAACUUUCUUACAGUUUUCCUGAAUGUAGUGCUUAGGACUGUGGAUGAGUCAUAUUUUCCCUGUUCAGUUGACUUUUCUAUACAUGUCUUGAAUGUGCUAUGUAUUAACGGCCAAGUAGGCCACCACAGCAGUUUUCUUUGAGAUUGGGAACCUGCUGAUUUGACCUGUUUAUCAAGAGAAAAGUGUCAUCUCAACAGGCCAAAUUGUUUCAUAUUUUUCCUCCCUAUUUUCAGCUUGUAAGCAAUUUCUGUUUAACCUCCUAGAGCCAAGUAAAAAGUGACUGUUUUUUUUUCUUCUUUUCUAAUAUUUGUACAUAAUUCAGGAAGAAAUGCAGAGACAUUUUUCUUUCUAUAAAAGUUUAAAUUGUCAAGUUAGAAAAACAUACUCUUUAUGUUCUUUAUAUAUGUCUGUGUAGAAUCUCUUUGUGUCUGUUUUUAAGCACAUGCAGUGGAAUUUAGGCUCUUAAAAGGGAAAAUAAAUGUCUUUAUUUAUGAACAAUGUUAAAAUGAUAAAUGGAAAAGUGCAAAACCCAUCAUGACAGAAAUGAGAAGACAAUCAUUGCCAUGCUCACACGAGAGAAUGGACUUGAGCUCUGUUGAGUGUGAUAGAGUCCUUCAGGUUGGAAGGCACUAUUCACUGUAAUUUAAGUUAGUAUUACUGUUAAAGAGCUUUUGGGUUUAAAAGUUGCCUAAGCUGCUCUGAAAUGUUUGAGAGAUUUACUUUCCUCACUUCUACUGGUACCAGUUAAAAGUAAGACCUCCUAGACCAUUGCAGUAGCCUCAUUAAGGAGAACUGAGCCAGCAAUACUUCCCUUUCUCCCAUAAAUUAGAUGUUGUCAAAAGAAAAAAAAAAAUGGGUUAAAAAGGCUACUUUUCACAUUCUUCAGACUGCUGCAUGCCACUUGGUCAAGAAUUGAACUUCCUGUGAGCUCCACAGCCUCCCACGUGUGAAAUACACCCUACAUGACAAUUUUAACAUCAGUUGCAUCAUUAACACAUGUUCUGUCUGCACAAUGUUUUUUUUUGCACUUUGCCAGAUGAGGCGGAGGCUAAAUUAAUUGUUACUGUGCACAGGCAAUUUUCUAAUGAAAACAAUAUGGGCAUUAUUAUUCUUGGAAAUGCAUUAGGAAAAUCUUACUCCACAUUGUAUAAUACACAUUAGGGUGACAGGUAGGUGAGGUGCUGGAAGAAGCAAGAAAGAAGAGUCCACAAUGACAGUAAAUACCUAUGUGCAUAUACUUGUCUGAACACACAAAUACAGCCACUCAUGCAUACACACACAAAACUCCGUUCAUUUUGAACCCUUGCCUUUGAGUUUGGCUUUUGUUCUCAUUUUAUACACUGCGACAAUUUUCAAGGCUUGCUUUUGUCCUGAGCUUUGUUGUAUAUCUUUGGUUUCUUACAGGGUGCUCCUUUUAGGUAACAUUCUCAUCUUCAUCAUCGUAUGAGACUGGGAGGGAUUAUUUGGUCUAUCCACAGCUUCCACACAAUACAUGUAAAGUCCUGAAGUAUCUUUUAAUACUAACUUGUCUCAAACAAGAAAACACCCAAAACUAAAUUAAAAAACAUAGAACUCAAAAGUGAAAUGCUAUGGUAAGAGAGCAAAGGAGCUUCAAGGGCUCAGCCAGUAUCAUGGACCUUUGUAGACGUGGGUGGAGCUGUCCAGGUGAUCCUUUCUUACAGGAAAACUGGUUUAUUUGACACCACAGAUUGGAGUUAAGAGGCCAGUGUCCCCAGCAUUAACUGAUUUGGAUCCAAAUACAACUUAGUUCCCUGCCAGUUCUUCACUUCACAGAAGAACAUAUGAAGAGAUACUAAGAAAUCGUUUUUCUGGAAACAGUUUUCUUCAGCUUUAAGGGAAGUGUGCAGGGGUGUGCAUGUAUUUGUAUAAAGGUAUUACUGGGACAUGGAGGGAAUUCUAAUUAAUAGCACCAGAAGUCCUACGGUUUUGUGUCAAACACAAAAAACCUGCAGCUUGGGUGACCACACAACCUGCUUGCUAUGGGCUAAAAAAAUUCUCUGCUUAUGAGAAAAAUAAUACACAUUAUUUCACUGCUCAUUCUAGCACCAGCACUAUAAUUAUUGCAUUCUCAACUAUCUUCCACAUUCCCUCUGAGCCGUGAAUUACAAGCUUUCAGCAUAUUGGAUACUAGUACUGUGGCAUGAUUAGAUUACCAUUUCCACAGGUUGCCAAAGCAGAAGAAUAGCUCAUCUAAGUAUGAAUAGAUUCAUUUACUUGAAGAGAAUUUUCUUUACCUUUCAGACUAAUCAUCUGUGUCUAACACAGGCUAAAAAGAACAGACAUUCUUUGCAGGUUAGCUUCUCUCAGAAAAUAAAAUGAACCCCCCCUAGUUUUUAUACGCAACUAAUUGAAGGAAUGCAGAUUUUGGGGUUUUGUCUGGUUGCUCAGAAGAGAGCUGUUGUUUGCAGAAUACAGAUACAGACCUGCUUUUUGUUGUAGACUGAACGCAUUAGUCACUGAGGAGGCCAGAGCAUAAUGCAAAGUAGCCAUUUUGUGUUCAUUUUAGUGCACAGCCUUCAAGAGGAGAAACACACAUAACCAUGUCAUUUUUGAUGUGCUGUUGAAUUGAAUAUAAAGAUUAUAAAUAUUUUAUUAGUCAUUUAUGGGUUAAAAAGGUAAUUUGCACAGAGUAAAUAUUUCCCUUUGGAAUUCACAAAAAAUAUAACAGGUUUGAAUUUGAAAUAAGAACCAGCAUUUGAGGAUAUUUGUUAUUUGCAAGCUACUUAUAGUGUGAAAAUUUAACUCUGUAUGUUCAGAAAUACUCAAAUCACCAGUAUGCCAGUAACACCUGUUCCAGAACUACCAAGCAGCCGUAACCCCAGCCUAAUAUGCAACACCUCUCAGAUUCACAGCUCUCGGGUUUUGCCCAAAUGCAUUCACAUCCUUGCCCUACAUAAAGGCAUACAGUAGACCGCCCCACAUGUUGCCUUUCCGGCUGUUCACGUCUUACAAAAGGUUUUUGGUGUAUGCGAAGGCUGACCCAUGCCAAACACUAGAGAAGUCAGUGAAAAUCCGUAGGUCCUUCCAUCAGUGAGCAACCUUUGUGUUGCAUCCCUUACGUUUGUACAUGAAAUUUCUGCCACACAUUUGUGGCCUGCUCAGCACUCUUAUCACCCACGUUUUAACUCCAGCUUAUGAUCUUAAGUACUGUGGCCUUUCAGUACUUAAGAGGGGCCUAUUAGAAAGAUGGGGACAGACAUUUUAGCAGGGCCUGUUACGAUAGGACAUAGUAAUGAUAUUAAACUUAAUGAGGGGAAGUUCAGGCUAGACAUGAGAAAGAAAUUUUUUACGAUGAGGGUGGUGAAACACUGGCCCAGGUUGCCCAGAGAGGUGGUAGAUGCCCCAUCCCUGGAGACAUCAAAGGCCAGGCUGCACAGGGCUCUGAGCAACCUGAUCUAGUUGAAGAUGUCCCUGCUUAUUGCAGGGGGGUAGGACUGCGUGACCUUUGAAGGUCCUUUCCAAUCCAAACUAUGCUGUGAUUCUAUGAUUAUUUUAAUAUGGUCUCCAGACCAUCUGCAAACCACCUACAGGGAUGGCAGUUUAGGAAACAUUGCCUUAUGAUAAUCUUCUGUAGUUAUUACAUUAAAAGCUUGUUAAAAAGGCAAAUCUAAACAACUUUGUAGAUGUUCAAGGAGAACCACAGAUUUCUUCUUGACAUGCAUCAUUAUGUAGUAAAUGAACAUUCGGUGAAACACAAGGAUAUUUAUUAUUCAACAGAUUACACUCGUUACAGCUUAAGCUAGUCUGGAAAAAUAAAAGGACAGCAUUAUUUAAUUAAUGAUGGUUUGCAAAUUACAUCCGGAGAGGGAAUUGCUGCCUUUUCCAUUUUUGUUAGCCCACAUGUGGCCAUGUGAGCACUGCUCACAGAAAUACUACUCCCUUCUCUGUUGCUCACACACGGACACCCACACAGUUCUCCUGACUUUGUCCUGAUCAUUCCUGAAUGUUUUUCCAUUCAAACAAGCCUCUAGGCAAACAAAAACAUGCCGCCUGCAGGAAAAAGGAGCCCUUUACCUGAGGGUGUCCAUGUCUCUCUGCAGGGCAAACACUCACUGUAUUGUCUGCCUGACAUUACAGCCUUUUGGAUGUUCCUCUUGAGUCUCACUGCCUCCGAAAACCCGGUGUGAUUACAGCCGAAUUCCUCCUUCCUUACAGACUCUCAGGACACCGUAUUUCUGCCUGGCAGCUCAAUGGAUCACGCUAUCACCAGCCCCUUGUGCAUCUGCUGUUUUGCUUUCUCUAACAACGUAGUAAACGUCACACUCUUUGCCCAAAAGGAUAAAGCCUCCCUCUGAGUGCCUACUCACUGCAUAGCAUAUGCACAAAUGAUUGAAGUUUUCCAACAAGCUGUUUAUGCACUCCUGCAGUACCAUCUUUCUGAGAAUCCCAGUGAUGACCUGACCCCUGUUUGCUGGGUAAUUUCAGCCUGGCUAAGUUCAGUUCCUUGCUGCGAAAGGAAAUCUGAAACAAAUACAAAGCACACUCACAAUCCACUUAGUAAAUAUUUCCAGAAAACAAAAAGAGGAAAAAUCUGCAAGAACCGGUAUAAAUGGCUAUAAAUGCCUAGAAAACACAGGUGCUUUGGGCAAGUAACUUAUCCCACCCUCCUUACAACAGCUAUAUUUGGAGGGGAUGAACUGUCCUUUGGUGGUGUCUGUUUCCCACCCUGUAGUAAAUGGCAGUACCAGAUGCCUAAUUUUGGAUGGCCAGUUGGGCAUGAGGAAUCCCAACUCCAGCAU